This 253-nucleotide ribosomal RNA is filed under the name uncultured bacterium. RNAcentral's name for it is "partial 16S ribosomal RNA". It matches the Rfam family "Bacterial small subunit ribosomal RNA", at positions 524 to 776 of the family's 1533-position model. The record is from RNAcentral.
UACGAAGGGAGCAAGCGUUGCUCGGAAUAAUUGGGCGUAAAGGGUGCGUAGGCGGUUUUUUAAGUGAGAUGUUAAAGGCUCGGACCUAAUCUGAGAAAUGCAUUUCAUACUGAAAAACUCGAGUGUGGGAGAGGAAACGGGAAUUCCUCAUGUAGAGGUGAAAUUCGUAGAUAUGAGGAGGAACACCAGAGGCGAAGGCGAGUUUCUGGAACACAACUGACGCUGAGGCACGAAAGCGUGGGGAGCAAACAGG